UAGGGAAUCUUCGGCAAUGGACGAAAGUCUGACCGAGCAACGCCGCGUGAGUGAAGAAGGUUUUCGGAGCGUAAAACUCUGUUGUUAGAGAAGAACAAGGACGUUAGUAACUGAACGUCCCCUGACGGUAUCUAACCAGAAACCCACGGCUAACUACGUGCCAGCAGCCGCGGUAAUACGUAGGUGGCAAGCGUUGUCCGGAUUUAUUGGGCGUAAAGCGAGCGCAGGCGGUUUCUUAAGUCGGAUGUGAAAGCCCCCGGCUCAACCGGGGAGGGUCAUUGGAAACUGGGAGGCUUGAGUGCAGGAGAGGAGAGUGGAAUUCCAUGUGUAGCGGUAAAAUGCGUAGAUAUAUGGAGGAACAGCAGUGGCGAAGGCGGCUCUCUGGUCUGUAACUGACGCUGAGGCUAGAAGGCGUGGGGAGCAAACAGG
This 429-nucleotide ribosomal RNA is filed under the name Gemmatimonadota bacterium. RNAcentral describes it as "Gemmatimonadetes bacterium partial 16S ribosomal RNA". It matches the Rfam family "Bacterial small subunit ribosomal RNA", at positions 355 to 776 of the family's 1533-position model. Lineage: Bacteria; Pseudomonadati; Gemmatimonadota. The record is from RNAcentral.